RNAcentral lists this non-coding RNA (766 nucleotides) under Pan troglodytes (chimpanzee). Lineage: Eukaryota; Metazoa; Chordata; Mammalia; Primates; Hominidae. The record is from RNAcentral.
CGCAGCCACAAGUCCCGGACGUCUUGGCCCCGGGAAUAAAUAAAGACAUAAACCAGCCCGGCUUUCUCCGGAGAAAUGAGGCGCAGUGGUGGAUGCUCGCAAACUUUUGCGCACCGCUGGAAACCCACUAGGUUGAGUUGCAAAACGUACCGCGUAGACGCCCCUGGUGGCGCCGAGAGAAGAGCUAGGCCUGCCCAGCACAGAGCCGGAGAGCGUCGGGCCUUCCGGAAGGGUCGACGAGAUGAGUUCCUACUUGACCUCUGAGCCGAGGUGGGCCGGAAACCGAGGCCUAGGCCCCGCCGGGGCUGCAAGGAAAAGGCGAAACUCCGAGCGUAGCGUCUUUUCCGUGUGGUUCCUUUCUCUGGCAUCCCGGACCGCGGGCCCUGCAGCCACCUGGACCGGCGUUCAAAGGAUUCUGCAAGUCCAGCUUCACAGACUGGCUUUCCCAGACGCUCCGAAGCCCGCACCACGAACAGAAUAAAGGAGAGACGAGAGAUCGCAACUAGAUUUGAGAAUCCUCGUUCUUUUCCCCAAUCGUUCGGGCAGUAAACUCCGGAGCCGGCUACAGCGCGCAUCCUCCCUUCCUCCUUUAGGAGGACUGUCGCUUUCCCGAAGCUGCUCCCAGCUGGGCUUUCUCCCGAAGUUUAUUUUUCUCAUUUUGCAAAAUUCCUGCCCUGAUUUUAAUACUGCAACAGGACAGCAGAGGUUCCUCUUUAAAAAGUCAAAACCCAAACCAAAGGGGCCCAUUGCUGUUGAUAAUUUUUUU